UGCUUCUUGCAUUCUCUCUCCCUUUGUAUAAAACGCACUAACUUGUGGGAGAGAAAGUGUUCUCCUCUUUUAGAAUUCAAUUAAUUGUCAAGCAAUUAUAUUGCAGUUCCAGUAACUGUAUCGACCGGGUCCCGGUCGAAGAAACCAACAGCAGGCGUUUCAAGACAACAGUGAACUGUUAUGUUUAUUGCGCUGGGCAUUUUAUACCAGAGCGAGGGAAAGGGGGUAGUGGAAAUAGAGGGCAAGGAAAGGCACGUGUCGUUCCAGCGUGCCAAGAUAGCUUGUGCUCGUUGAACUGAUACGAUACAGUAACUAGAGCACAAAUGCGAAAACGAAACCGAUUCUGUUCCGCGCUCACAGAGUGCGGCACCAGGGGGCAGCGCGCGCUGCGCGUCCGUUAGGAGUGGCAGACGGAGCUGCACAUGUGUAGUCAGCCGGAAUUUUUCGUGUCGUGUUGUAAAGGUUGUUAAUUUGCCGUAAAUAUCUCUUGAUUUGUACUCAAGAGUGAAGCAAGACUCCAAGGAAGAGAGAUUGACGCAUCGGGAGCGAAGGACAGAAACGAUGGAUGGUUACGCUGCUUGGGUCUCGGCACGUUCGAAUUGGCAAAGUUCCGAAUUUGUCGCUGUGUUUUGUACGCUUGUGCGCUCGUCAUUUGCCGUCAUCGCGCGGAGAUAUUUGCGCUGGAUGUCUUUCACUUCGUGUACAAAACUCUGCACGCUGCGGCAUCGAAGAAGUUGUCCUGUGUUUGGGUGCACGUAUGCGCUUGGACACGGAUAUAUCCUGCUUGCUGUCAACGGGUGUUCAACAGUCUACGCGCACUCGUAACUUGCAUCAAGAGGCAAGUUGCUGUUGUGCUGGAGCUGAGAAGAGGUCUGCUGCCUGCAAUGGGUCCAUCUCUCUCAAGUUAUCGCAGUAUUGUAGCUCUCAAAGUUCAAAAAAGUAUGGUGGAAGCUGUUGCCAAGGUUCCGACCAGAAAAGACAGCCAGUAUAAAAGGGUUCACACCACUGAUCUCUACUACAGGGGAUGGACAGCACAUCGAGCACCCUCGACUGAAGCCAACCUUCUCCCGGAAGUUGGUGCUUCACAACUUUGCGGCAGCACUUCGUUUGCACGGCCUGUGGAGACAAGGUUUCUUAGACAUGGCCAUGGCCCUCAAGGAAGAUGCCGAGGCCACAGGCAGUUCCUCCAGUGACCGUGAAAAGGUCCCCUGGGGCACAAGUCUAAUUUGGCACCCCUACCUUUCUCCUGCAGCUUUUCUGUCUACUUAGCUAACCAGCAGCAAGUUUAUCCUUGCAAGCAUUUUGGGUCAAGAACAACUUUCACCAGGAAGAAGUGCAAGACGAGUGAUUGAAGAAAAUAAAGUUGCUUCUGUGAUCUAAGAA
Dermacentor andersoni is the source of this 1383-nucleotide non-coding RNA. The record is from RefSeq and is a predicted model, not a curated record. NCBI's taxonomy places the organism in Eukaryota, Metazoa, Arthropoda, Arachnida, Ixodida, Ixodidae.